GUGAAGAUGGUGUCAAAGUGUUUCAACUUAAAUACCAUAUGUUGGGUUCUAAGCCUUUGUUAACUGUCUUGGGAGACUACAUGGUUGAUUCUUUUCUGUGGUAAGAAUCAUGUGAAUUUGCAUAUUACACGAUGUGUAUCAUUUGUUUUAAUGGUAUACGAUAACUAUUCAUAGUGAUAGAAAGAAAUUAAGUAAGAAAUACUAGUUAUACAUGCAAGGUAUGUGAUUUGAUGGAUGAAUAUAAAACAUUGUGUUGUUAUGGAUAAGGGUGUCUCUGACCCUUAUAAUGCCUGGUUUGAUGUAUUUAUCAUUAUAUGUCAUCUCUUCAUAUGCAUUCUUUUGUUUUUGCACUAGUAUUUGCGAUUGCUGGAAAGGCCUCUUGAUCUAACUUACAAACUUGGUGUCAUCGACUAGGGGACUUCAACUGCAAGUAAAUGCACUCAUGGAAUUUUAUUUUAUUUUUCAUUUUUUUCAUUUUGAAUGAUUGGGUUUGAACUUCAAAGCCAAUGCUCUUUGCUAGAAGCCUCAUUAUGUCAAUUGUGUUUUAUAAUGUUUACUUUUGAGGUUUGUAGCAAUUUCUCACCAUCACUUAUGAAGACUUGUCAUUCAUAUCCUUAUGUUCGAUAGUUUCUAUUUAUUUGUUACUAUGAAUAAUUAGACUUCAUUAAAGAAGAGGAAUCCUUUAGAGAGUAUGAAGAAACCCGCAACCAAUAGAGGGAAAUAUGCCCCUUCUUGGCAAGCAAAAUGUCUAUGCCAUUUAGACGUUAUUUACCAAGCAUGUUGUCUCUAUAGUUCAUAAAGAUAACACCAAAUAAAAUGUUUAUAGUUCUCUCUACAAAAGCCAAAUGAAGUAUGUAAAAAAGUAGCAACAUAUUUUUCAAAACAUCCUUCGGGCAAGAUUUUUUUUUGGAAUAAGCAUAAGGUAAGAGCAAAGAGCGAUGGCUUCUGCUUAUGCAAAUGAAACACAUCAACUAAACUGGAGAAAGUGGUGAUUUAUGUCGGUUAUUUUGGCAUAGCCACUUACAGUACAAAGAUAAUGAGUAAUAUUGGGCUAGGUUAUUGAGAAAAUGGUUAAUCUCCCUCCAAUCUUCCAUAUUUGAAACUAAGAACAUUGAUCAUGAUGGAUUACAAUUCAAUCUUACAUUAUACUAUGAGAAGAUAUUAAUUGGUUCGAAUACUAAAACUUCUGACUCUUUUUGCGGGAUAAAAAUUGUGUCAAGUUAUCUUUCAAAAAAAAAGAAAGAAAAAAGAAUCGUGUCAAGCUGCAUGUUGCAAGGCAUGCGUAACUAGCUAAGACUACAGAAGUUUUGGAUCAAGCUGACAUUUGUGUUUUCCCUUCAUACAUGUCUAUGUGACCUUAUAAACAGGUUGGAUAGAAAAUAAACAUCAUGGUGGGCCCUAAGAAGGUUUCAAUGGCGGGCUCAUUAUCACCACGACUUUUUGUGGUGUAGUCCUGGAUCUGCCUCAUUUUUGGGCUCAUGUCCUAAAAUAAUCUUUAAAAAUGGAUGAAAAGUAUGGAUAAAACCCAUAAAUCACAGAGGCCCCAGCGAGCCCCUGCCUAAAUUGAAUCUUGUAUUUGAGAUCUUGGGUGUCAUCAUCACAACCAUCACCAUGUUUAUGCAUGAAUCGCCCUGGCCAUUGGCUUUUUCUUGAUACUUAUUUACUUCUGCUGUUAGUUAUUUCUCUCCUGAAAUAUUGGGCUUUUGAUGAAAUGUGGUUAAAAUGUAGGUUUUGUUCACGUUAUCUAGAACUUUAGUAUUAUCUAAGACCAGGAUCUCGACCGGGUCCUUUUUCUCUAUUUUCCCUUUCUAUUCAUCAUCUGAAUUACUUUCCAUCCCAUAACCACUUUUCUCCCUUUUCUUCCUUGAAAGAAGAAUAUCAUGUGGGUUGAUUGCAUCGUGGAGCUAUUAAAUCUACUAGUUUCAAAUCUAAAAUUAAUAUAACUUGCUUUCUUAAGGUUUGUUAUCGUUUUAUUGUAAAAUAAUCAUAAGAAAUUGUCAUCCAUUACAAAUGAUGACUUCUGUUUGUGCUUUGACUUGGACCUUGGAAACUAUGAAAGGUUCCUAUAUAUUAAGUUGACUCAUGACAACAAUAUCACCACUAGGAAGAUUUACCAGUCUGUUAUUAACAAGGAGUGAAGGGGAGAUUACUUGGGGAGAACUAUCUAGGUUGUCCCCCACAUUACAGAUGUUAUUCAAGAGUAGAUUGAGCAUGUAGCAGUUAUUCUUGUGAUGGUAAAGAAGGCCCAGCCGCCCAGCUGACAUAUGUGUCAUAGAAUUGGACGGAACGAUAGGUAAAACUGACUUUGAAGUGCUAAUUUUAUGUUUGUCCUUGCAUGGGAUAAACAGCUCAGCAUGUGGACUAUCAUCUUUGGUGGUAUUACAAUGUUGGCAAUUUUUUGU
Molecule: long non-coding RNA, 2402 nt
Organism: Magnolia sinica
Lineage: Eukaryota; Viridiplantae; Streptophyta; Magnoliopsida; Magnoliales; Magnoliaceae
Exons: 3
Source: RefSeq, a predicted model, not a curated record